RNAcentral lists this ribosomal RNA (400 nucleotides) under uncultured bacterium. RNAcentral's name for it is "bacterial SSU rRNA". It matches the Rfam family "Bacterial small subunit ribosomal RNA", at positions 356 to 773 of the family's 1533-position model. The record is from RNAcentral.
GGGGAAUAUUGCACAAUGGGGGAAACCCUGAUGCAGCAACGCCGCGUGAGUGAUGAAGGUUUUCGGAUCGUAAAGCUCUGUCUUCAGGGACGAUAAUGACGGUACCUGAGGAGGAAGCCACGGCUAACUACGUGCCAGCAGCCGCGGUAAUACGUAGGUGGCGAGCGUUGUCCGGAUUUACUGGGCGUAAAGGGAGCGUAGGCGGACUUUUAAGUGAGAUGUGAAAUACUCGGGCUCAACCCGGGGGCUGCAUUUCAAACUGGGAGUCUAGAGUGCAGGAGAGGAGAGUGGAAUUCCUAGUGUAGCGGUGAAAUGCGUAGAGAUUAGGAAGAACACCAGUGGCGAAGGCGACUCUCUGGACUGUAACUGACGCUGAGGCUCGAAAGCGUGGGGAGCAAAC